This 292-nucleotide ribosomal RNA is filed under the name uncultured bacterium. Its description in RNAcentral is "partial 16S ribosomal RNA". It matches the Rfam family "Bacterial small subunit ribosomal RNA", at positions 505 to 796 of the family's 1533-position model. The record is from RNAcentral.
GUGCCAGCAGCCGCGGUAAUACAGAGGCCUCGAGCGUUAGGCGGAAUCACUGGGCUUAAAGCGCGUGUAGGCGGAUCGUUAAGUGUCUUGUGAAAUCCCACGGCUCAACCGUGGAACUGCUGGGCAUACUGGCGAUCUUGGGCCACUCAGGGGCGACCGGAACAAGCGGUGGAGCGGUGAAAUGCGUAGAUAUCGCUUGGAACGCCAAAGGUGAAGACAGGUCGCUGGGGGUGUGCCGACGCUGAGACGCGAAAGCCAGGGGAGCAAACGGGAUUAGAUACCCCCGUAGUCC